AUUGAACGCUGGCGGCAGGCCUAACACAUGCAAGUCGAGCGGAUGAAGGGAGCUUGCUCCUGGAUUCAGCGGCGGACGGGUGAGUAAUUCCUAGGAAUCUGCCUGGUAGUGGGGGAUAACGUCCGGAAACGGGCGCUAAUACCGCAUACGUCCUGAGGGAGAAAGUGGGGGAUCUUCGGACCUCACGCUAUCAGAUGAGCCUAGGUCGGAUUAGCUAGUUGGUGGGGUAAAGGCCUACCAAGGCGACGAUCCGUAACUGGUCUGAGAGGAUGAUCAGUCACACUGGAACUGAGACACGGUCCAGACUCCUACGGGGGGCAGCAGUGGGGAAUAUUGGACGAUGGGAGAAAGCCUGAUCCAGCCAUGCCGCGUGUGUGAAGAAGGUCUUCGGAUUGUAAAGCACUUUAAGUUGGGAGGAAGGGAAGUAAGUUAAUACCUUGCUGUUUUGACGUUACCAACAGAAUAAGCACCGGCUAACUUCGUG
This 484-nucleotide ribosomal RNA is filed under the name uncultured bacterium. Its description in RNAcentral is "partial 16S ribosomal RNA". It matches the Rfam family "Bacterial small subunit ribosomal RNA", at positions 30 to 507 of the family's 1533-position model. The record is from RNAcentral.